RNAcentral lists this long non-coding RNA (347 nucleotides) under Brassica napus (rape). RNAcentral's name for it is "long non-coding RNA (BNAP_LNC025755)". Lineage: Eukaryota; Viridiplantae; Streptophyta; Magnoliopsida; Brassicales; Brassicaceae. The record is from RNAcentral.
UAUGAGAUAUAUUCAACUUCCUGGUGAUUCUCCACCACUUUAUGUAUCCAAAUCAAGCUUCUUACAAAGUUAUUCAUCCUGCAUUGAUUGGAACGACGAAGAAGCUGUCCUAUUCCCUAACUGGGAAACUGGAAUCACCUGAAUUGAAAGUGGGAUAACUUCUUCAUCCAACCUCCUAUGAGAUUUAUUCAACUUCCUGGUGGAUCUCCACCACUCUAUGUAACCAAAUCAAGCUUCUUACAAAGUCCUUCAUCCUGCUUUGAUUGGAACGACGAAGCUGUCCUAUUCCCAAACUGGGAAACUGGAAUCACCUGAUUUGAAAGUGGGAUAACUUCUUCAUCCAAACU